RNAcentral lists this long non-coding RNA (200 nucleotides) under Salvia miltiorrhiza (redroot sage). Its description in RNAcentral is "long non-coding RNA (SMIL_LNC013016)". Lineage: Eukaryota; Viridiplantae; Streptophyta; Magnoliopsida; Lamiales; Lamiaceae. The record is from RNAcentral.
CACCGCUUUGACGGCGGCGUGCGUCCUGUUUCCAGCAGAUAGAGAGUAGAGGAGAGAGGACGAGAGUUUAGGAAGAAGAGAGUGCCGAGAGAGAGAGGGAGAGCCGCGCCGCUCGCCGGCGGCGACGGCGCCGAUGAACGGCAGCGGCAGCGGCAGCGGACAAUUCGUCCGAGAGAGAGAGAGUGUUGGGGAAGGAGGCG